Molecule: RNA transcript, 4262 nt
Organism: Alnus glutinosa
Lineage: Eukaryota; Viridiplantae; Streptophyta; Magnoliopsida; Fagales; Betulaceae
Gene name: DNA mismatch repair protein MSH1, mitochondrial
Exons: 23
Source: RefSeq, a predicted model, not a curated record
CCUAAUUUACAAUCGUUACUACGUGCAACCGUUGUCCGUUGAUGAUAAUAAUCCCACGCGUGAGUGCUGAAACGGUACGAUGUGGUCGAGAUGAGGAAAGGAAGACAGCACUGUUACUGUCUGUCGCGCCGUUUCAGUGAUUUUUCACUUUCUCAAAAUAUCCUCCAACACAAACCUCAAACCUCACACAUCUACAAAAUCUCUCUUUGUAGCUUUGUGGCGGGAAACCUCUUCUCUUAGAGAGGGAGAUUAUAAACCCUAAAAAGCCCACCAAUUUUCUUAAUCUUCCCAUUCUGAACUGAUGCAAUGCUCAGCCAACAAGCGAAGUAAUUUGGAUAGGAUUCUCUUACAGAAAAAAUAAAGAAACAUCCACUAACUACUCCACUCUGCACAAUGUACUGGCUUGCAACUAGAAGCGUCGUCGUUUCGCUUCCCCGGUGGCGUUCCCUCGCUCUCUUGCUUCGUUCCGCUGCUCCCAGACACUGCUCAUUCAGCUCUUCACCCACGCUUCGCCACAGCAGGAGAGAGUUGGAGCGGAUUUGUUGUUUCAAAGGUCAGAAAGUUUUGAAGGGAAGCUCAAAAACCACCAAGAAAUUUAAAGCAUUAAAUGGUGCCCUCAAUGAUAAGGAUCUUUCUAACUUACUAUGGUGGAAGGAGAGGUUGGAGAUGUGCAGAAAGCCUUCAACUGUUCAGCUGGUUAAAAGGCUUACAUAUUCCAAUUUGCUAGGCUUGGAUGUUAACUUGAAAAAUGGGAGUCUAAAAGAAGGAACACUCAACUGGGAGAUGUUGCAGUUUAAGUCAAGGUUUCCACGCGAAGUUUUGCUCUGCAGAGUUGGGGAAUUUUAUGAAUCCAUUGGAAUAGAUGCCUGUAUUCUUGUUGAAUACGCAGGCUUGAAUCCUUUUGGGGGUCUGCGUUCAGAUAGCGUUCCAAGAGCUGGUUGCCCCAUAAUGAAUCUUCGGCAAACUUUAGAUGAUUUGACACGUAAUGGGUAUUCAGUGUGCAUAGUGGAGGAAGUUCAGGGUCCAACACAAGCUCGUGCUCGUAAAGGUCGUUUUAUAUCUGGGCAUGCACAUCCAGGUAGCCCAUAUGUAUUUGGACUUGUAUGUGGCGAUCAUGAUCUUGACUUUCCAGAACCAAUGCCUGUAGUUGGAAUAUCUCGUUCUGCAAGGGGGUAUUGCAUAAAUUUAGUCCUGGAGACCAUGAAGACAUUUUCCUCUGAGGAUGGUUUGACUGAAGAGGCCUUAGUUACCAAGCUCCGUACUUGUCGAUACCAUCAUUUAUAUCUGCAUACCUCUUUGAGAAACAACUCUUCAGGCACUUGCCGCUGGGGUGAAUUUGGUGAGGGAGGUCUGUUGUGGGGAGAAUGUAGUGCCAGACAAUUUGAAUGGUUUGGAGGGAAUCCUGUCAAUGAGCUUUUGCUUAAGGUAAAGGAGCUUUAUGGUCUCAAUGAUGAAGUUACAUUUAGGAAUGUCACUCUGUCUUCAGAAAAUAGGCCCCAGCCUUUAACCCUAGGAACAGCAACACAAAUUGGUGCCAUACCAACAGAGGGAAUACCUUGUUUGUUGAAGGUGUUGCUUCCAUCUAAUUGCACUGGUCUACCUGUAUUGUAUAUGAGAGAUCUUCUUCUUAACCCUCCUGAUUAUGAGAUUGCUUCUGCAAUUCAAGCAACUUGCAAGCUUAUGAGCAAUGUAACGUGCUCGAUUCCCGAGUUUACUUGCAUUUCAUCUUCCAAGCUUGUGAAGCUACUUGAACAGAGGGAGGCCAAUCAUAUUGAGUUUUGUAAAAUAAAAAAUGUACUUGAUGAAAUAUUGCACAUGUAUAAAAAUUCUGAGCUCAAGGAAAUCCUGAAAUUGUUGAUGGAUCCGACAUGGGUGGCAACUGGAUUAAAAAUUGACUUUGAGACAUUGGUUACUGAAUGUGAGUGGGCUUCAGGUCGAAUUGGUGAAAUGAUCUCUCUAGAUGGUGAAAGUGAUAAAAAAAUUAGUUCCUCUUCUGUCAUUCCCAGUGACUUUUUUGAGGAUAUGGAGUCUUCUUGGAAAGGUCGUGUGAAGAAGAUCCAUAUAGAGGAAGAAUUUGCAGAAGUUCAAAGGGCAGCUGAGGCCUUAUCUUUAGCAGUAACUGAAGAUUUCCUCCCUAUAAUUUCUAGAAUAAAAGCUUCCACAGCCCCAUUUGGCGGUUCAAAGGGAGAAAUUUUAUAUGCUCGAGAGCAUGAAGCUGUUUGGUUCAAGGGCAAACGUUUUACACCAUCUGUAUGGGCUGGGACUCCUGGGGAGGAACAAAUCAAACAGAUUAAACCUGCUUCAGAUUCAAGAGGUAGAAAGGUUGGAGAGGAAUGGUAUACCACAUGGAAGGUGGAGGAUGCUUUAACCAGGUACCAUGAGGCAGGUGCCAAGGCAAAACUGAAGGUCUUGGAAUUAUUGAGGGGGCUUUCUUCUGAAUUACAAUCUAAAAUUAAUAUCCUUGUCUUUGCUUCCAUGUUGCUUAUUGUUGCAAAGGCAUUGUUUGCUCAUGUGAGUGAAGGAAGGAGGAGGAAAUGGGUUUUUCCCACUCUUGCAAAGUCCCAUGGGUCUGAGGAUGUAAAGCCAUUUGAUGGAGCAUAUGGGAUGAAGAUAAUUGGCCUAUCGCCAUAUUGGUUUGAUGUAGCAGAAGGCAGUGCUGUACACAAUACAGUUGAUAUGCAAUCAUUGUUUCUUUUGACAGGACCUAAUGGGGGUGGUAAAUCAAGUUUGCUUCGAUCAAUCUGUGCUGCUAGUUUACUUGGAAUAUGUGGAUUUAUGGUGCCUGCAGAGUCGGCCUUGAUUCCUCAAUUUGAUUCAAUCAUGCUUCACAUGAAAUCUUAUGAUAGCCCUGCCGAUGGGAAAAGUUCAUUUCAGGUAGAAAUGUCGGAAAUUCGGUCCAUUAUUGCCGGAACCACUAAAAGAAGCCUUGUGCUUAUAGAUGAAAUUUGCCGAGGAACAGAAACCGCAAAAGGGACUUGUAUUGCAGGGAGCAUCAUUGAAACUCUCGACAAAAUUGGUUGUCUGGGUAUUGUAUCCACUCACUUGCAUGGAAUAUUUACUUUGCCACUCAAUACCAAGAACAUGGUUUACAAAGCAAUGGGAACAGUAUAUGUUGAUGGCAAAACAAAACCAACUUGGAAGUUGAUAGAUGGGAUAUGUAGAGAAAGCCUUGCAUUUGAAACAGCCAAAAAGGAAGGAAUGCCUGAAACAAUAAUCCGAAGAGCUGAAGGCCUGUAUCUUUCAGUUUAUGCAAAAGAAGUUCUUUCUGGAAGAAAUGAGAGAGAAGCUGACCUUUCUAACACGAGUAUUUAUCAUUCUGAUGAAUCCCAUCUUGAAUUGAGUAGGAUUAGACAAGAAGCUGCCUUUAAUAGGAAAAAGUCAACGAACCAAGUGGAAGUUUUACAAAAGGAAGUUGAGAAUGCUGUCACGGUAAUAUGUCAGAAGAAGCUGAUUGAGCUCUACAAGAAGAAAAACAUAUCAGAACUUGCAGUGGUACACUGUGUCCUAAUUGAUGCAAGGGAACAGCCACCUCCAUCAACAAUAGGUGCUUCAAGUGUCUACGUGAUGCUUAGACCCGAUAAGAAAUUUUAUGUUGGAGAGACGGAUGAUCUUGAGGGCCGAGUCCGUGCGCAUCGUUCAAAGGAAGGGAUGCAGAAUGCAUCUUUCAUUUAUUUCUUAGUCCCAGGAAAGAGUCUGGCUUGCCAACUGGAAACUCUUCUCAUCAACCAGCUUUCUAAUCAAGGGUUUCAACUGACCAAUGUGGCUGAUGGUAAGCACAGAAAUUUUGGCACGUCUGUCCCCAUAGAAAGUGUGCCUGUGUCUGUGUGUUCUUGACGCAGCAGCCCUUGAUCCCUAUGUUAAUAGCUAGUCAGUCAGAAGAAAGAGGUUGUUGGCCUCGCUAUGUUACUGGAUGUAAUUCAUUGACAAAAGCAAGAGGAUGUGAAAUUGAUCUGGCAGUGGCUGCACCAAUUUUGUCUUUUUUAUGUCCGUUGCUCCACUUGCAGUUUAGGGUCCUCACCUCCAGUAAAUGGGGUUUUGAACUUUUGCUAGGCCUAACAUGGCUUGCAAGGAGCGCAUAUUGAGGUUAAAAAUAACAGGUAUCUCUACGAGGUGACCAUCUACCUGCAAGAUGCACCACUUCCAUGAACUCCUAUUAUUCUUAGCAUGGAUAAUUGAGUUUCAAAUGGGGUUCCGAUUAUUGUUAAUUUAUUAUAAAGCAUCAUAUUAAUGGUAUCUCCUUUUCUUUUCUUUUUUUAAUUUUU